CCUACGGGAUGCAGCAGUGGGGAAUAUUGGGCAAUGGGCGCAAGCCUGACCCAGCAACGCCGCGUGAAGGAAGAAGGCUUUCGGGUUGUAAACUUCUUUUCUCAGGGACGAAGGACGUGACGGUACCUGACUAAUAAGCCACGGCUAACUACGUGCCAGCAGCCGCGGUACUACGUAGGUGGCAAGCGUUAUCCGGAUUUACUGGGUGUAAAGGGCGUGUAGGCGGGGAGGCAAGUCAGAUGUGAAAGCCACGGGCUCAACCUGUGGCCUGCAUUUGAAACUGUGUUGCUUGAGUACUGGAGAGGCAGACGGAAUUCCUAGUGUAGCGGUGAAAUGCGUAGAUAUUAGGAGGAACACCAGUGGCGAAGGCGGUCUGCUGGACAGCAACUGACGCUGAGGCGCGAAAGCGUGGGGAGCAAACAGGAUUAGAUACCCUUGUAGUC
RNAcentral lists this ribosomal RNA (443 nucleotides) under uncultured bacterium. RNAcentral's name for it is "partial 16S ribosomal RNA". It matches the Rfam family "Bacterial small subunit ribosomal RNA", at positions 338 to 795 of the family's 1533-position model. The record is from RNAcentral.